This 15571-nucleotide long non-coding RNA is filed under the name Phoenix dactylifera (date palm). Its description in RNAcentral is "long non-coding RNA (PDAC_LNC004203)". The record is from RNAcentral. Lineage: Eukaryota; Viridiplantae; Streptophyta; Magnoliopsida; Arecales; Arecaceae.
UUUGAGACAGGUAGACUAGUUUCUAGCUUUGAGUGCACCAAGGACAAGCGAGUGAUCUAAAUGCAUGAUCCAAACCGAGUAGUUGAGGCAAGUCCAGAAAUCACUGGAGAUAUGAGGUGGGGUUGGGGAGAAAGAAGGUGGUUGGUUAGCUUUUGGAGCUCUUCCUGGCUCUGUUAGCUCUCAAAGGUGGUGGUUGGUGGUUGUUGAGGUUAGAACUUAGAAGAAGGCCUUUGGGUGUGUGGCCGCUGAACUGCUGGUAACAGGCAAUACAGAGAUGCAGAGAGGGCAUUUAGAGACGCAUCUUUGUAGACAACACUGGGAAAUGGCAUUGGUUCUUUGCCCAUGGAAGAGGAAUAUCUGACCUAAAUGAAGGCAGGCAGAUGAAGCCUCCAGGAUUCGGACCGACGCUUGCCCUCAGAAUGGUGAUGAUAACCUGCUUAUUUCAGACGAGUGUCUUCCUUUUUGUCUUGAAAAAAGUCAUCAAAGUGGUAGCCUGGUGGUAAGAAAGCUUGGACUCCAACUGAGUUAUCCAAAUUCGAAACGUGCAGGCGUCGAUUAAAUCAGAGAAUUGCAUGCCUCACGCUCGGAUGGCUCUGUGUGGAUAUACUUUCCUUCUAUCAGUACUGAGGUGGCGCUGGAGUGACGUACUCACAUAUGGAUGGCCCAGCUGGAAUUUUUCACGGGUUAAAGAGAGCACGAGGAAACUUGCAACCCAUGUCGAACAUUCCUUGGAAGAAGGAGGGCUGCUACGCGGGUGGGGUCCCCCCUCCUAGUUUUUACCAAAAAAAAAAAAAAAGAAGACGAAUCACAGGACCAGAGCUUGCACCUACUUUAAGCGAGCUGAGUAGCUGAAAACUAUGGAUCGUAGCCUGUCCAUAAAACCUACUAUUGAUAUUGAGAACGAGAAAAAGAAUUGGCUUGAGAUGGACUACUUAUCCAUCAAAAUGUCCCUAGUGAUAGUAAGGACAAAAGUGAAGUAUGAGACAAAUAUAUCAAACUUAGUUACUAUAUCUGAUAUAAGUGUGGAGGAGAAGCAGCCGAGCUCAUUCCCUUCGCUUCCUGGGCCCAAAGCAGUGCUUUGUUUCCUGGCCAAAUCAAGGAUUUGGGGCUUCUUGCAAAAUAUAUAUGAAUAGAAAGAUAGAUCCAUCCAUCUAUCCGGAUAUUUUACGCGGAUCGGCGGUUUCGGAGACCGAACUGCCCUAGCUCCAGAAGAGGUUAGCCGUAGGAGAUUCAAACCUUGACCUUCUCUUUUCUUUAUGAAGCUAGGAGAAAUUAGCCCUGUUUCCGCUGUUCUAGAGUCGGUAGCUUUAAUUGCUCGUGUUGAAUCAGCCGGGAGUGACAAACUCUCCCUAUGCUUAAUCUCUUCAAUAAUUGCAGACACCCUAUCUUUAGGUUUCAGUUUCAUUCACUCUUUUCCAUCUCGGCCUAUAAAACUAGUGCCUCCUUUCACAUUCGUAAAAGUCGGGGUUCUCAAAUGGCGAAGCCUUACUUUGCCUCCUUUCACCAAGGUGAAAGAAGGGGUUCUCAAACGGCGAAGCCUUAUACCAGUCGUGCUUCCGACGAAGUUUCUCCCGUAGAAGACAGCUUAUAAACAAAUAAAUAAAUUUCUAUAGCUAACAAGGCAGAAGUGUUAGUGAGCCUUUGGAAAUUUUGCUCUCCUUAUUUGAAUAAAUUUUGUCCAAAAGUAUAUCCAAAUCCUCAUUACUUAAACAUGCUCUAACAUGAUAUGUAUUGCCUGACAAAAGUUAUUGCUCUAUAUAGUCUUGAGAUGUGUCUUGAUUCUAGAUUAAGUUAGCCCGGGUGGCGGAAUAAGGAGCUAUUUUAUGAAAUAUAUUUAUUUCUUACGGCAUAAUUUUAUUUGGCUCAAUGUGAGAGAGGAUUAGGUUUGAAUACAGAAAAGCUUGAGUAACUCAAAUAAAUAACUCAGCCAAUGUGGUGUAUUCUCACUAUUCCCUUUGAAUUGGGAUCUUAGAGUGUGCUAUUUAAUGAAGCAAAAUGAAUGUACAAAACAUCUGGGUAACUUUUCUGAAUGAUUUUUUUGAGUUCAUUCUUACAAAAGGACGAGUUUUUUUUUUCCUAAUUUAACUACUAAUUCUCUACAACCAAUUGGCAUACAUCAAACAACAAUCGAACAUGACCUAAGGCUAGCACAAUUUUAGAGAUCAUUUGGUACCAUUGCACCAAUAACAAUAUAGAACGCUCUUUUGGUACCAUAAUAGGGUUUGUAAAUGCAGUCUUUCUCCAAGAGGGUCUACAACCAUACAACAAAAAUUUAUUGAAGCAGAUAAUUCUUAUUAUCUAAAACUUUGAUAUAGUUUUGAUUGAAGACUUCUAUUUAAUAUUUGACCAAAUUAUUUAUUCAGUUUUGACAGAUGAUUGGAAAUCUUUAGGAUCUGCACUACCAAGAUUAGCAUUUGUUUCAUGAAAUAGUUUUUUUUCAUAAGACCAAAUUGCCCCCUUACAUUUUCAGUGUUUGUUAAGAGUAAAAUGAUAACUGAAACGGAAUAAGAACAAGCCUAUUUUCUAGUAUAAGAUGGGAUAUCUCCCACAAGGAAUAAGACACAACUUCUUGAAGUUUGGCAAGAUUUUGAGAGGAUAUCCCCUUACUUGGGGAUAUCUUCCACUUAUUCCGUAAUCAAAUAAAGAAAAAGAAAAGUUCCAAUACGGCAGAACGUACUCAAGACCCCAAUCAAACACGAACAUCAUAGAUUAUAGCACCUUGGUACCAAAUAUCUCAUCCGGUUCCACUCUUACCUCUUGCCUUCGUCCAGUUGCGCACUUCUGCCUUCUUCUUUCCUUCUGAGCAACAGAAACAUCCAAGCAACGUCUGCUUUAGCUUCACGAAGAAUUCCUUCCCAUCAACAAAGAAUGCAAUAAAACAUCAGAAACUUAUCGGUGCAUGCUGGAAUGCAAUACAACACGUAAUACAAAUGGAUUGGUCACAACAAUUCAACCCCUGAAGCACAACAGAAUGGAACCAUCGCAUGUAAAAUAGUGACACUGAAAGUUUUAAUCAAAAAGAACCGCAAAAAAUUUCAGGCAACCUUUAAUAACGUUUUCUGUACAAUGUUAUCUUUACACGACAGCCGUCCGAAAAAAUCCUAGUUGCUGGCAGAACAGGACAGAACAUUGCAUCAGAAGAUGAUUAAAACCAACCCUAACUACUAAAAACGGAGAAUACAGAGGUAUCUACUUAAUUACACUGACCUAUAUACACAAGAAACUUUUAGCGUGCAUUUGGAGUUUGGCGAUCAUACCAUCAUCAAUUCAUCAUCCCUUUGAUACAUAUGCAUUCAUAAGGGGCCCAGGUUGUACCAAAUACCAAAAACUUACUGAAUAAGCAAACUACUUGCCUAGUUGCCAAAAAUGUUCACGUGGUAAAAAUUAAAAAACCUUUGCUCCAAGGAAAAAUAGUUUGGCCGAUUGGUAUUACUUGCCAAGUUGUUGAAAAUGUUCAUAUUGUGAAAAACUGCUCCUCAAACCUUUAAUUGCUUGGCUCCAAGAUUAGUUUGGUGCAUGUCAGCCAUUGCACACAGCCUUGAAGUGAUAUUUGUCUAUAGUAGAAUAGAUGUGGCCCACAUCGACAUGGUUAUUAAGUACAUCCCUAGUACAUAGGAGCAAGGUAAAUGUCCAUAAUACAUAGAUGUACACACACACACACACACACACACACACACACACAUAUAUCUCUCUCUCUGUGUGUGUGUGCGCGCGCGCAUGCGGGUGAGAGAGAGAGAGAGAGAGAGAGGUAUGACAUCAUGUUUUCGAAUCCCAGUAUACUAAAGCAUUUAUCUAGAGUAAUGCAAAAAAAAGGGGUCUUGAAAUGGCUCUUUGACUGAUAUUAUACAUGAUAAGUUAAAAAAUAAAAAAUAGACAUAUAAAUAAAAAAGGAAAGAGAAAAAAGAAAAAGAUAGAAGGAAGAUGCAUUAAUUUAUCUUAGAUGGAAUAACUCCAUAAACUAUUAAGUGCAUGAAGGUAGUUCCAAACUGGUGGGCCUUUAGCAAGCGACAGAUAAACAUCAAUGUUCAAGAAAUAGACUUUUACCUUAAGUUUACAUAAUUGAUAUAAUUAUAUGGAUAAAUGCAACUGCUUAGUGUUAAUAUAAUUUACUUCCUUAUCCCAGAUGCCACAAUGCACUAACAAACAAAAACUUGAAGACUGCACUAACCAUACUAAAUAAAAGAAGAAUCAAGUCUUUAGAAAUGCUAAAAUAUUAUAGAUAACAGGCAGGAGAGCAGGUCAACCAUAUGUGGGAACUCAAACAGCACUAAAGACAAGCAUUGUCUCAUCGACAUAGGAUUGACAACCUAAAGGGAGGUUCACUAUAGGAAAAGAAGAUAAAAUUAAAAGACCAAGCACAUUUGUGUAGCAGGUAUUAUCCUUCAACAAACACGCAUGCAUGCUUGCUUGUAUACUUAUAUGUAUCUGUGAAUAUGUGUAUGUAUGCAUAUAUUAGAUGGUUCCUGGAAAACUCCCAGAACCAAGUUGUACAUGUCAUUUCCAGAUUUAUCCAUGCUCACAUAAGCUAAAGACUAGUAGGAAAGACCGAAAUUGCAGAUUAUCAACCAAUUGUCCAUAUAACAUAGCUCUUUUUUGAUUCUAAAUAGGCAACUUAGCUCACACAGUCACCAUGAAGAGGGAAGAGAAAGAAACAAAUUCCAUGGUUGCUUUAGUUGAUUUGUACGAAGAGCAUGCUCUCCUUUUACUCCAUUAGAAAAAGUGGUUCCCAUGAUUGGAUUUGUCUGGAUUUCAGCUGGAACUCCUUUCUGUACCUUAAAAGGAAAAAACAAAAGAAACACGAGCUUAUUAAUUUUUUACACUGUUUGCACAUAUAAAAAUGCAAGGGCAAUUUAUGUACAGAUAUAUAAAGCACCUCUCUACAUGCAAGUACCUUCACUCCAGCGUUUUUGACAUGUACAUAUAUGCAUUCAAUGAAGUGGAGUCAGUCACAGACCUGAAAAAACAGAUGUACCAUACUUUUCAAAGAAUUGGGUCAACAAAACAUAUAUGGUAUAUCUCCGAGAAAGAAAUUGGGCCAAAAAAACAGAUAUGAUAUUAAGGUUCUAAAGAUUGCAAUAACCAAUUGCUCCACAUCAUACAAAGCACAAUGUCCGAAUUGACUGGCUGUUCCAACUUGGUUGAUUAGGUGAAUAUUUAGUCACUGAGGCUUAGGCAUGUCCACAGAAAGGAAGAUUUUUUGAAAAUAUUAGUCCAAGACAAUGUAUAUGUGGCAUAACCCCACAAUGGAAACAUGCUAUGAUGCCACAGUGAACAAUGAUGAAAUAACAGUUCGUGAGUCCUUUUGACCUAGUCAGGCUAAUGUGGAAUAUUUAUAAAAAAAAAAGAAUGCAGGCCCUAGAGCAGGGGUAAAACUCUAGCAAAUUCAGAUAAAUAACAUUUAUUUAGAUUUUACAAGAUUCAAAAAUUCUCAUACCUGGAUAACAUAGACAAUUCUGAAGAUCUGCAAUGUUUAAAUUCCAGUAAAAUAGUUGUAUACUCAUAUUCUCAGCCCAGAACAGUAUAAUUUUGAAAAUUUCUGCAAAAAUUUCUGGCAAUCAACUAGAACAAUCUUCCUCAGGCUGCAUAAAAGCAAUCUAUUGCUCUUGAAGUAUCAAACUGGUGUUUGAACUUUUAAGGGUAAAUUCUUCCUAGUUAACCAAAUUUAUUUCUAUUGCCAGAGGAAAAUAAUAUGACUGACAGGGAUCCAUGUUUUUCUAAGUGAUAUUUGGUCCUUAUAUAUAGUUCAAUACACACUUGAAGCCACAAGAAAUCUUCUUCAGGGGAAACCAGAACAUUGACACAGAUCUAAUGUAGAGAGUUUCAUAUUCUGUCACACUGCAUGAAUCUUGCAAGAAUAUAAUUUUGAUCAGUAUAGAACUUGCAAGAACAUAAUUUUUAUCAGAUGGAAACAAAGAAGUAUCUUUAUGUUUGUCCCAUAUAGAAUCAUUAACCAACGUCACUUUUUUCACAGCAUUGUAGCAUCAUGGAGCAUAACUUCAACACAUAAAGAUAUUGGAUCAUAGUAGCAUUCCUCAUCUAUCAGAAUUACUCCUUUUCACAGUAAACAAAUAGCUCUUAUCCUUCUGAAUUAGUGUUCGCACACUUCCCGCCGAUUGAUCAUAACAAUUUCUAAGAUACAGACUAGCACAUUACAAUGUUAAUAUUUGGCUGAAGUACAUAGUUUGUUUUAUUUAAAAUUUUAGCAUAGGAUGGGAACAAGAAAUGAUUUCUUCAGGUUUGAAGAAAUAAUUUUCCCGGGAAUGCUAAUAGGGAAUGAACAAUGGAACAUUAAAAAUCAACAGAGUCUUGAUAAAAAUAAAUUAUUGAAUAAUUGUUAAAUGAUAAUGUCCACACAAAAUUAACCGAUCUGUUAAUAAAUGUUUGACAUAACAUGAGUAAUUGAAUGAAAGAUAUUUUUCUCUAAGUUCACUCUGUCAUAGUUCUUAUUGCUGUUGCUGCUGCUUUUGGUGCUGAAUUACCAUCGAUCCGGUCAUCUUGGUCUAGAGCUUGAAAACAUGAAAUUAGUUUAAAAGCCACUAAUAAUACAUUCCAGAUGUGGCUAUCAUGAGCUCUUCAGACUUCCUCAACAUUGUCAGUUCUACACAUAAAGCUAAAAAGUCAUGAAAGUUAUUUACAGUCAGCAGCCAACUUCAUAAUUUCCUAUUCAAGUUUAUUUCUAAAAUAUAAAUCCCUAUGACCUUCCACACUUUAACAUUUAAACAACAUUAAUGGAAGAAUAUGUGCUAAUGCCAUCAAGUAAUGAACAGACACAUAAGAUCUGAAGUCGAUGCCAAAUUAUAAGGUGUUAAGCUAAUUCCCUACUCACAUCAAACUGGCUCCUGAAAAAACAAGGUUUGCCUCACCAAUCAUGCCUGAAGGAGGCACUCGGGCCACAUUUAGAAAGGAUGAUAGUUGGGACAUAUCUAGUGCCAAAUCUAUGCUUCUUACUGAAAUUUGCGCACCAAAAUAACAAGUAAAAAAGUACUCAAUGAAAUUUUCUUUAGAGCAAGAGCUUUGAACAGAAUGAAGAAGAUAAUUUUCAAGUGAACAAAACAGGUUUUAGCCACGCCACCUGACACGCCUUAAUUGAAAUUAAAAAAAAAUCGUAAGGUACUAAACUGCAUAUUAAUUGAAAGAAAUAAGUUAAACUGGAACAUUAUACUCCCCAAAAAAAUUUCUAAUUAGGGAAACAUCAACUUGAGAGUAACUUUCCAACCUAAACUAAAGAAACAAAAAAGCAGGAAAACAAAAAAAUCAAACUUUUUACCUGACAGAGAAGGCACGUCUUUUGCCCUGAAACCCUUCAAAUGAGCAUUGACUCGAACAUAUAUCUCAUCUCUUUAUUAUUGCUCAAAGAAAACCCAAACAGCGCAAAUCCAUCAAAGCACGAUCAAGAAAGUAGAUAUCGGGAACCAAUCAAUUAAAAGCACCAAUCAACAACGCUUACUAGACAGCAACCACUUCAUUCGCAUCUGAGAUUUCAUUUACCCUACGCAAUUGGUUGAAUGAGGGAUGCAUACCAGUGAGCAUUCGACGGAGAACGAUGAAGCAAACAACAGAUUUUAUCAGGCGAAAGGUUUUCUCACCAUCUAUUUAUGUCAAUCCGCCCCAUGCCGUCGUCAAGGGCGAAGGAGGUGUCGCCCAACCUGCAGCAGCUCGACCUGCACCAAGAGCAAAAAAAAAGGAGAUUAGGGUUAGGGUCAAGGAUUUCCGAGAAGAAAGAAGCGGGGAGGAGAGAAUGCCGUUACGCCGGCGAUUUCUGAGCUAUUGACGGUGAGGGUGGACUUGUCGUCUCUGGCAUGGUAGGCUUCGGCGCUCCGCUUCACGGUUACCGGGAGGGCGCCUGGGAGGCGCGGGAAAAGCGACGGAGCCCGGAUCAUGGCGGGCCGUUACAAGCCGCGCGGGUCGGACAAUCCCAUUGGCUGCCAAAACCGUCAGGCCCAAAGAAAUCUUAUAACGGCCUAUUCCAAUUGCUUUCCAUAGUAGAGUACUUAAAUUGUCACCAUUAUCACACAGGGUAAUGAUAUUAUUCGAGUGGAGUAGAAUGUUAUUCUAUUAUUUAAAUAUCAAAUUUUACAUAAAUAUUUUUUUAAAAAAUUAAUAUAUAUAAUAUUUAUUUUAUUAUUUUAUUUAUUUUUUAUUUUUAUUUUUUAUAUGUACUUACAGAAUCUAGCAUCAUUAAAAAUUAACAAUUUCAAAUUAAAAUAAUAAAAUAAUUUUAAUGCAUAAAUAUGUAAAAAAAUAUUCAUAAAACGGUAGAAAACAAGAAAUUAAUUUUAAAAUUUUAUUUUAUUUUUAAUUAAAAUAAAUAUAAUUUUGUAUUAGAGAUAUUUGUAAAAAAUAGUAUUUUAUAAAAAUACAGAAAUAAAUAUAAUUUUUUAAAAAAAUAUUCACAUAAAUGUAAAUUAUUAAAAAGAUAUUCGUAAAAAAAAUCCUACUAAUUUAUUAGACAACCAUGAUGAAGUAGAAGCAUUUUAAAACCAUUUUUUUGAAGAUACGGAUAGAGGCCACUGAGGUGGUAACCUAGUAAGAGCGUAGCCUUACUUCCAACCAAGUUGUUACGGAUUCGAAACACACGGGCAUCGAUUAAAUUGUGGCGAACGGAUGCUUUCUGCUCGGACACGAGAUCUGAAAGAACGUAUCGUUCUUCUAGUAGCCUCGAUGGUGCCAGAUGUGACAUACUCACACAUGAUAUUCGUAUCGGAGCCCAGAAGAGUAACUAAGUCGAACCCAUGGAUGGAAAGGAUAUGAGUAAAAUCGGCCAAGUUAUUUCUGCCCGCAUCGAAAAUAUUUCUGACGGAGUGAAGGCUGCUACGCAGAAAUAAGCUUGUCUCUUCCUCCACCUUUUCCCCUUUUUUUUUUUUUUUUUCCAGAAGAAGAAAGAAGAAGAUGCGGACAGAGACAGGCAUAGACAGCCCCCACAUGACAUGACCAACCACACAAGACUCUUCUAUUUUUAUUUUUGUGGAACAAGAAUGAGGCUAGAAAUUUCUUUAAUUUUUAAUUACCGGAGUCCUAACAGGCUACUAAAAAUGGCCGUCGGGUUGAAUGGGCGGACCCGAACUUACCAUGCGGUACGAUCUCACAUGAGCUCAUUAUAAUUUUCUCCCAAAUAAAAACAAAACAUCAUGCCUUAAUUCCACAUCGCAUCGCACUUGGGAAAUAUGGUGCAGCACAAUUUGAUUAUAGAGCCGGCAUCAUGUCUUAAUUCCCCAAUUUGUCUGGAUCAAGUCAGCGGCCAUUAACCAGCUUCUCCAGUAUUGCCUUGCGAGUCUCAGAUUCCCAAUAGAAUUUUCGCAUGCAGGGGGGAGCUCCAUCCAUCUUUCCAUCGGCUUAACUCAGAGAUUCGGCUUACAAUAACAAAGGAAGGAGAAACAGUCGACAAAUUGUAGACACUAAAUUUGCUGAGGACUGCAUACAAUACAAUAGCAUAUUCAUAUGCACAAACAAAUGUCAUAGACAUCCUAUAGCAGCAAAAGAGAAUGAAAUCUGGAUGUAAGAAGAUAAAAGAAAGACCCCACAGUGCAGUGGACGCCUUGGAUGCUGUGGAUGCCUUGGACGCUUGCUCGUCAAGGAUCAUAAAAACGAGAUCUGCGCCUUGCAUAUCUGUUCAAGAUUUUGCAGAAGACAUAAAAUAUCAGCCAAAGUAACUAGAAACCAACAAAUAGAGUCAUAACCGCAGAGAAAUAGUCCAAUCCAUCAAUCUUUAUAUUACUGAUCCUUUGCCAUGCUUGAAUUCUGGAGGGGAAAAAACAAGCAUUUUGAUGGGGGGUGGGUGGGUUGAUGGAUUAAAGAUGCAUAACAGAAACUCAAUAUUUCAUCUCAAUUUGGUUUGGCAUGUGCCUCAUCAGUGAACCAAAUCAAAUUAUUGCAGUGGAAAGACUAUCUUUACAUUCCAGCACAAUCGAUGCCUAAAGUAUAACACAAAAAGAAAUUUAAACAAACCUGUAAUGGCUGGGGAUUCUUCUGGAUGCUGCACCACCACCACCACCACUGGCGGCUCCUAGAUACUCGUCAUCGAUUUCAUCAAAUCUGUAUUCUCUUAUGUCUACAGAUCUUGUAGAAGCCUCAUCCAUAUUUGAACCAUCAGAGCUUGAUCGGCGACUGCUUCUCCUUUCACUUCUUUCACUCCUUCCUGAUCUCCGUCGGUUUCUUGAAGCCCUACAGUUUGCAAACAACAUGCAGGAGGUCCACCACUUGCGUCUAUUCCGGUGGAAUUCGUCAUACUCGUCUCCUGUCUCUUCAUCUCCAUACUCGAUUACAUAGUCCCCCAAAACCACACCAUGAGGUACUUCUGCAUGUAUGGUGCUCAAGACAUCUAUGAUCUCUGAGGACUGCUGAAAAUUUUCCCAAUCUUGUUGUCUUGCAGGGUCUAUUUCAGAAGGACGUGAAUGGGGGUGUUUUAAUUGAGCGUGCUUCUGCAGCUCAAAAAAGUUGCCAGCAUAUGAACAGUAUUUCUCUUGGCAGCACCUUUUCUUCAUGUUCAGAUGCAGACGGGCCUCAUCAAGUACAAUCCAUCCUAUUACAUCUCCUCUACACAGUGGGCAGGUUGGUCGGCUGUUGGGGCUCGAUGGGAUCUCUUGAAAGCUUUCAAGAGAAGUCUCAUUAGUAGUUGAUGGAACUUUUGCCACGGCAGGCAACCCAUAUGCGCUCUUAAAACGACUGAGACAGUUUGAGUGGGUGUGAUCUGUAUCACACAUGAAUGGUCGACACCCCUGAUCAUAUGAGGAGCACUGCAGUAAAACUCCAUUGUGUGGGAAAUCCAAACAUAUUGGGCACGUCACAUCUUCCCAAUUACCAUCCAACUGUAUGUCUUCCAGGUUCAAUGAGUUCUGCUUGAUACCUCUCUUCUGACUAGUGCCUGAAGCCAUACAAAGCUUUCUUAAACAAACUUUACUGCCAUGGAAAGUACAUUUGGCUAAAAUGUGACUGGAUGAACCUGCAUACGAAAUCAAGCAAAAAGACUUGUGAAGUCUUUGAAUAGCAAGGGUCAUAAUAAGAAUUCAAUCUUUUACAUAUACAAAAUUUCAGAAAACAUUAUUAGCACUAGAGUUUACUGAUAACUAAAUGGUUGCAAUUAUAUAUCAUAUACUCAUUGGUAUGACCAUGUAUUUGAUCUACAAAGAAUGAACAUUCCAACCUGGUGAGUCACUUUAUUACCGCUUCACAAGAUGCAAAAUGAAGAAGCUGGAUAAGUGACGGUAAAACUCCUUGCUAUCAGUUGCAUGUCAAAUUUACCCAGGCUUCUUCCAUCAUGAAUCAGCUACUUGUAUGGUAUGCAUCACCAACAAAUAUCCCAGGUAGUUUUCUACUUAAUAUCAUGAUAAUUACCUACUUAAUAUUCUUACCAUAUGGCAUGAAAGGGAAGGACUGGUUCAAUGAUUUUUCAACACAAAAAACAAUCUGAGUCUGCCUGAAUUUCAUUGCAAGCUUCCAUGAAAGUGCAGCUUGAAUAAGUUUAAGGUGAGCAUGCUAUACAGUGCAAUAGUCUGAUGUUUCAUUUUCACUCGUAUACCUUUUUGUCUGUAAUAGCUGAAUUACAACCUAUACAAUAACAAUCAUCAAUAAAGUAAAAGUCAUCCUAUUUUAUUAAUUGUUAAAAUUUAGUUUAGUUAGAUUAUAUUAACUCCUGCUCACAUAUGAUACAAAAAAUUAUAAUAAUCCAUCUAAAAUAUGUUUAUUUAUGAAACACCUAUCUUAUAGUACACACCAAGUUUCCUCCGAUGAUGACUUGAUUUGUUACUAUACCACAGAUAAUGUUCAAGCACACAUCAACAUCCAAAUAUCCACUUAAUAAAAUUAUUCCUUGCGAUCAUAUUAAACACAGCAUAUAUCAUCAACUUCCAUCAGUAAGAACUUACAUGCAUUUAUCGAAUUUGAUAGUUAAAAAUCCUCUCCAACAUCUAUCAACAAUCUAUCAAGUGCAAGUUACACUUUAAUUUGAAAAAAAAAAGGAGACUUCCUCUAUUUUCUCGAUUAAUCCACCAGAUAUAUUUAUAUCAAAAACUAAAUAAAAGGAUAGUUUUCAAAUGAGUUAAAAUGUUAAAUCAUCAAACCAUAACACCAUUUAUUACUCGUAGGAAGUAAGAUGUGCCAACUGAUUUCCACAGAUAGAUGGAAUAUUCCUCAAAACUUUAAAAAAGUCUCUAAUUUCGUGAUAUUUCACUGGCCAAGUGAUUCUCCAAAUCAUUCUUAAACAAUCAAAUUGUUCACCAGCUAUUCAACUGCUCAGAAGUUACUCAUGAAAUAUUCACCACUCAUCCAUGAAACACUCCUAACAAAUUUAUGUAACAAAAGCAACCUGUUGACGUUGCAAUUAUUUUCUGAUAAAGUCUUAUUGAUAAUAAUAAUGAUGAUGAUUAAUAAGGUCACCGCCCCCCCCCCCCCCCAAAAAAGGGAGAAACAAGAAAAGCAAAGCAAAACAUACAGACACAACACACACACACACAACAAAAAAAAGUUAUUGAAGAAAGACCUUAACAAAUUAAACAAAAUCUUCAUGAAUGCAGUAGAUUAUUAGUGGCAUAUAAAAUAUCUAACUUAUCUGUAUUUAUUACUAAAUACUAAAGAUAUUACAUAAAGAUUGUCUUGUUGAGCUUCAUGGAUACAAAUAGGUGAACAAACUAACACAUAAUGCUUAAGCAGAAUUUGUUCCUUUUUUCUUAGACAAAAAUUUACUAUUUUUAAAGUUCACUUGUAAGGAUCAUUUUCAAGAUUACUACUGGAAAUGGAUGAAAUGCCAUUCAAAAAUAACUAAUUCACAACAUGGAAAAAAGAUUGUGUCAGCACUACUCCAACUAGUGAAUGAAAUAACUAAUUUUGCUGAACAGAUUCUUUACACCAUUCUUGCUGCUACGGUUUUUUUCAUCUCCAAAUUAGAGCACAAGCAUGUUUGGAACAUGCAAAAUCACACAAUACAACUUUGUAUUAUACAUGAAUAUGCUUGUGACAUAGCAUGUAACUUUCACACCACAGAGCUAUUUGAAAUAUGGGGCAUAAUUUUCAUGCACGAGUUUCCAGACAAUGAGUCUAGGGCAGCUGCCUUGGUAUUAUCCUCUUAAUUUGUCCAAAGAGCAAGUGGCUGUCUAGGACUGAUAAAUAUUAGGCGUUCGCCGUCAUGCCUAAAGUGUAGAAAGUGACUUAUAAACAUAAAGAUUGUACCCAUACUGUAACUAGUCUAUUAUUUUACCAAUAUAUUUAAUUUUAUUACAUAAUUGUUAGUUUACUGCUGCUAUUUUUAUAUAGCAUGCUACGUCUCUAUUUGGUAACAUACCAAAUAAAUUGGAAAAGUUAAGGACAGAAUUGUGAAAAGAGGAAAGGUAGGAAAAGGUGGCUAGGCUAGGCAGCAGAACAUGUUAAAGUCUUGAAGGAAGCUGAUAAUGGCAUAAGGAGACUCUGGGAUUUGAACCUUGACACAGCAAAGAACUGGUGUUUAGGCCAAGUUAUAUCAUAGUGAAGAUUCUUUAAAAAAAGGAAGUGAGGAUGUGGUUCUAUAAGGUGAUGAAGCCUUGCUGUUCCCCCUAUCAGAAAUUUAAAUUCUCUCAUUAUUUAUAUGCUUUUGAUGUGAAAUUUUUUAGUUAAAAGAGUGGAAAGGUAGAAAAAUGUCAUUAUGCAACAUUAUUUUAGGGUGACACGUGCCAUGACUGAUAACAAGUUGUACUCUCAUGCAGAAAACUACAAAUUUGGACAUAGCAUACUAGGGGAAGUUAACUACAAUCUCAACAUGAGUUCAUGCUAUACCCUUCAGAAGUUGUUUCAGAAGCACCAAGUUUCCAAGAAUCCAAGUGUUUGCAUGGCAAGCGACCUUAAGGAAAAUAACCACCUAAGAUGACCAUUUAAAGAAACCUAUGUUAAAGUAUACUUAAAUACAGACGGUAUUUACAUUCACUCAAAGUGUAAUUAUCAGUUAAUUCAAAAAGAAACGUCCAAUGCAUGUGGGAUUUCCUGAGUCCUUAAAAACAGUUCUGUUCUACCCACUAAACAUUUUGUAGCCACCAAACACUAUCAAUCAUAUUUUAUAUACCCAUGCAUCCAAGUUUCCCUUGCAAUUUGAAGUCACCAUCUGCAAUUUUGUUCCCUUCCAAUCGAUAUGAUAUUAUCACAUAGUACCUUUCAGAGGUCCCUCGAAUGUCAAGAAGUAUUCAAUUAUUUACCUGAUUAAUAAUGUCCGGUACCCUGGUACUAUGAUCACUUUAACCCUUUAAUUUCCUUCCAAUUAGUGCUCUGGAUUAUUUCAUUGCUACAGAACAAUUUUCCUUCCCCUUCCAAUAAUGUCCUCAUUCCAUCUUCUUUUAAAAAUUGCUCCGCCCUAAAUCCAUCUCCCCUUUUAGACAUUCUAAUUGUCAAUUGUCUUAUGCCCGCCAUUUAUUUUGCUGAACUUUUCUCUACCAUAUCAGAUUUCAUCUAACUUCAUGCUUCAAUUACUCCCAUUUUCCUACCUUGCCCCACCCCUGUCUUGGAAAAAUUUGCCUAUCCGCUAGCUGAUUCUUUGUUAUGAGAGGUGCCCUCAAGACAAAUUUAAACACAUCGAUUUCCCUCACUUCAAUACAAACAACCAUCUAUGCUCUUCCUUUCUUGAAAUGAUAGGCGAUAUUGCAAUCCAAACAACCAUUCUAUGCAAAUCUGCAAGCCCCAGAAACUCAACAACCUUAUCAGCAACCCUAAGUUCACACUCAUGGAUAUCCUUCCACAUCAUCUCAUUAUAUAAAAAGGACUUGCUUUAAAAAAAUUUAAAAUGACAACAUGCCAAAUAUAUCAUUGCUUCAAAUAGGCUUAAUAAAGUGACAAGGACCCUUGCUAGUUAUAAAGGGAAAAAAGGAAUGUCCUCUGUAUAGUGUAUGCACAUGAAUCACUUGGUUAAAACAUAGCUCACUGUAAAAAGCACAAUCCAGCAUGUAACAAGAAUUCAGUAACAUAGAAUAGUUAGUUCCAACUGAAAACUAUAGCAGAAAUAAUUCAUGCCAUUAGGCUUCCACACACGUGCAAGAAAAGCCGAUGCAUAAGUGCCAACAAAAUUUACGAGCAAAAGGGAGCUGUAUAAAUUAACCAACACGAGUAUAGCUUGGUCUUAAUCUAAUUCUGAUUCUUCCAUGAUGAAGUACUGUAAAAAUUAAUCAAUCACUCAGCAAGCGCUAUUUCAAACUCGAUACUUGAAGAUAUCCUUAAAUCAAAUCCAUGCAAUUUAAAAUUAGGAGCAUUGCCUAAACCACUUGACACAUAAUCUAAGUAAUUCACCUCAAUACUCCAAUUACAAAUUACUGCAAGAUAAAUCAAGACAAAACAAAAGGCAAUCCUACUUGACGAAUUCACAAACACAAGCACACAAAUCCAAAAUCGAAUCAUCAUCACAGCAUCGCCAAUCAUUCAAUUCCUCAAAUCACAAAACCAAGCCGUAAAGCCAAGGUAGCCCGCCAAGCCAAGAAAGCCCACAAAUAGCAAACAGAAUAUGAAAACCCUAGAAUCGGAAAGAAAAGAUCAAAGUCCAAACAAUUAUCACUGAUAACUUCUCAAAAAAGGAACCGAAUUAACGAAGAAAAAGCUAGAGCGAACUGAAAAAAAAUAAAAAUAUAGG